CGUGUAGGCGGUGCGGUAAGUUGGGCGUGAAAUCCCCGAGCUUAACUCGGGUGGGCCGUUCAAGACUGCCGUGCUAGGGUGCGGGAGAGGGAAGUGGAAUUUCCGGUGUAGCGGUGAAAUGCGUAGAUAUCGGGAGGAACACCUGCGGCGAAGGCGGCUUCCUGGACCGUAACCGACGCUGAGGCGCGAAAGCUAGGGGAGCAAACAGGAUUAGAUACCCUGGUAGUCCUAGCCCUAAACGAUGAGCACUGGGUGUGGCCCCUCACGAGGCCGUGCCGAAGCUAACGCAUUAAGUGCUCCGCCUGGGGAUACGGUCGCAAGGCUAGAA
RNAcentral lists this ribosomal RNA (328 nucleotides) under uncultured bacterium. RNAcentral describes it as "bacterial SSU rRNA". It matches the Rfam family "Bacterial small subunit ribosomal RNA", at positions 568 to 899 of the family's 1533-position model. The record is from RNAcentral.